AAAAUGCGAUGACGCGGCAGAUUGCUUGCAUAAGGCAAGGGAACUGGCGUGGAGAAAUUGUCCGGGUCAUGAAUCUGGGCGACAA
Megamonas funiformis YIT 11815 is the source of this 85-nucleotide non-coding RNA. The record is from Rfam. NCBI's taxonomy places the organism in Bacteria, Bacillati, Bacillota, Negativicutes, Selenomonadales, Selenomonadaceae.